Delphinapterus leucas (beluga whale) is the source of this 2359-nucleotide long non-coding RNA. NCBI's taxonomy places the organism in Eukaryota, Metazoa, Chordata, Mammalia, Artiodactyla, Monodontidae. The record is from Ensembl.
UGGGCGGAGGAGGAGGAAGAGGAGGAGGGGAAAGCGUUGGCAGGAGCUGGCUGGGUGCGGGGGGGACGCGAGCAGCGGCACGGUGCGCGCAGGCAGCGGCGGGCACGAGCCCCACGCCUGGAGGAGGAGGAGCCAGGCCCGAAAGGAGGGCUAACGAGGUUCUCGGCAACGCAGGGACGCCCCCCUACCCCCGCCCAGAUACCGGGUAACCGCCCACCGCCCGCCGCCCGCCGGGCACCUGCCAGGGCACAUCCCCAAGCGGCGGCGAGCGCCUCUCCCCGUGCCUACGCCGCGCCGGAGGAGCGGAGCCCACUCGCCGCCCGGGACUGCGCCCCGCGGCCGCCCUCAGGGACUCCCUGGAGGCCCCGAGGUUCCAGGGGGCUGCUGGUGGGUGCUGGUGCGGCUUCGGGGACGCGGUGUGUUUGUGCGGCCCUAGAUCCCCGGUACCUCUCCCUGCCGCCCGCCCCCCAGCGUGCCCUGGCUCCGGAGCGACGUGGCUGCCGAGGAGAGGCGAUAAAAUCCAAACGUGCAACUUGAACAACAACAAAAAGAGAGACAUUUUCCUCUUGGUACUGCAGGUAAGACAGAACGUUAUGCAUAUCCUUCUGAAGCAAAGCAGAACGGGUGUUUGUCUCUUCAAGAAGUUGUAAUAAAUGGUAGACAUUUUAAACGAAAAAACAAAAAGUAUGCUGAUAUGUUUCUGUCCUUUUGCAUUCAGAGUCAAUAUAUGCCAAACACUUCAAUUUUGUUAGAUAUGAACCCAAAUUCAGAUAUUUUUCCUAGAUGGUACAGUUUUCAUAACAGGCACUUCUAAUCGCCGGUAAAUUUUAGCUUUGCUUUGAAGAUUAUGUGAGGACAAUAAAACCUUUACAUUGCAAAUUUUUCAAGCUGUUCUUUUUAACCUAUUAAUCACCACUUUCUAAAUGAGCAUUUAAUAAGCUACAACCUAAACAAACAUUUGCUCUACUUAGCUGCCUCUGUGAAGAAUGGAACACCACCCAGCUUUCUCCUCCAUCAUUAAUAUUCCCUUCCUGACUUGCCCACUGCAGAGUCUAAUUGAAAUUCACAAAGAUAAAGGCAUGCCAUUUAAAACCUUGCAACUAGGGAAUCUAAACAUCUUCUACUUAGUGUGAACACUUCACUUCCUACUGUAUUUUCCUAUUUUCCAUUUCUAUGAGUCAAUCUUUAUUAAGAUCUCUAACACUUCGCCAUUUAUAUUACUACUAAGUUGUUUAUAUUUUGAUAAUGAAAGUUGAACAGCCCAUGGUUUCUUCCCAACCUUAAUUGCUAUGCUAGAAAAUUUCUCCUUCAUGGAUGUACAAUUUUUGUAAAUAUCUUCAUAGAUUAUUUGCUUACCACUAUAGUCUUUUCCUUGGGUGCUAAUGACGAAUUAUGGAUUGUAGCUUUAAUUGUUUUAUCUCAAAAUUUGUAUUUAUUGGAAUUUGUUCUCAAAAAAAAACCCUCUACCAUUAGCACCCUUAAUAAAUUUGUAAUCUCACUGCCGUAUGACCCGUUUAUGUGGAAGUUCACAAAGUUCAAGCUGUUUUGGAUGAUUUUCACCGUUUGCUUUUUAAAAAACUAUGUUAGAACAAUCUAUAGAUUUAGAUAUACACUUACUUGAGAGAGACUCAGUAAAAGCUAGAUUCAAAAAAUUCAUUAUAAAACCAUGAUUUUUAGUUCUUCCCCACAAAAUGCUUUGCAAUUUUAUUGAAGCCGGAUAGCUGUGAUUUAAACUUCAAAGUACAUUAAAGGAAAUGGAAAUCAGAAAAGCCGAUUGCAAGCACCGGACCUCCACUUUUAUUGCUAUAUCUUCACUGAUAUUUCGCUGUGUUACUAGUCCAGUCAAAUUUCUUCUAGGAUUGUCCAGCUUCCACAAAUAUCUGAAAAAUCCAGCCUGAUAUCCUUCUUUCCUCUCUGUGAUGGAGUGCAGCGAACUGCCUGUGAUUUGAGAGCCAGCCUGCGUAGGUCAUGACUAAGCUCUUCCUACCCACUCCUUGUGGAGCAGGUCCUAAGGCAACCAAUCCUGUAGAAGAACUGACAACUAGUCGAUUACCAGUAAAUCCAAUCCCACCCAGGCUAAAGCAGUGCAAAACCUUCUGUUUGAACAUGUUUGAAUUACUCUCCCACAAAUUGGAUUUAGGGGGGCGUCACUUCUUAUAUAGUUCCCAUCCCUAACAACCAAGUCCCUAAGGAGAUUUCCACAUGAGGACCAAGAAAAAAAGAAAAUGAAGAAUUGGGAGAUCAUGAUUUUGUCUCCUGAUAUCUCACAAUAUUGUAUAGUUUUAAAAUUCAUUUAAAAUUUAAAAUUCACAAAACUGUUCGUGUUUUUUAGCAGAUAUUUUGUAGAGCUUCCUUUUUU